This 432-nucleotide ribosomal RNA is filed under the name uncultured bacterium. Its description in RNAcentral is "partial 16S ribosomal RNA". It matches the Rfam family "Bacterial small subunit ribosomal RNA", at positions 29 to 507 of the family's 1533-position model. The record is from RNAcentral.
AACGAACGCUGGCGGCAGGCCUAACACAUGCAAGUCGAGCGAGGACUUCGGUUCUAGCGGCGGACGGGUGAGUAACGCGUGGGAAUGUGCCCUUCUCUACGGAAUAGCCCUGGGAAACUGGGAGUAAUACCGUAUACGCCCAUUGGGGAAAGAUUUAUCGGAGAAGGAUCAGCCCGCGUUGGAUUAGGUAGUUGGUGGGGUAAUGGCCUACCAAGCCGACGAUCCAUAGCUGGUUUGAGAGGAUGAUCUGCCACACUGGGACUGAGACACGGCCCAGACUCCUACGGGAGGCAGCAGUGGGGAAUCUUAGACAAUGGGGGCAACCCUGAUCUAGCCAUGCCGCGUGAGUGAUGAAGGCCUUAGGGUUGUAAAGCUCUUUCAGCUGGGAAGAUAAUGACGGUACCAGCAGAAGAAGCCCCGGCUAACUCCGUG